UGUUCACUGCACGGACGGCCAGGAUGGGGGACUCAAAAUCCCCCGCCGCAAGGCGUGCCGGUUCGAUUCCGGCCCGGGGCACCA
RNAcentral lists this transfer RNA (84 nucleotides) under Alcaligenes faecalis. Its description in RNAcentral is "tRNA-Leu". Lineage: Bacteria; Pseudomonadati; Pseudomonadota; Betaproteobacteria; Burkholderiales; Alcaligenaceae. The record is from RNAcentral.